This 335-nucleotide unclassified non-coding RNA is filed under the name soil metagenome. RNAcentral describes it as "partial contains 5.8S ribosomal RNA, internal transcribed spacer 2, and large subunit ribosomal RNA". The stretch from base 1 to 120 matches the Rfam family "5.8S ribosomal RNA", at positions 35 to 154 of the family's 154-position model. The record is from RNAcentral.
GAUGAAGAACGCAGCGAAAUGCGAUAAGUAGUGUGAAUUGCAGAAUUCAGUGAAUCAUCGAAUCUUUGAACGCACAUUGCGCCCCUUGGUAUUCCAUGGGGCAUGCCUGUUCGAGCGUCAUUUGUACCUUCAAGCUCUGCUUGGUGUUGGGUGUUUGUCCUUGCUCUAGUGGCGGGACUCGCCUUAAAGUAAUUGGCUGCCAGUGUUUUGGUUUUGAAGCGCAGCACAAGUCGCGAUUCAAGUCUAUACGCUAGUUUCCACAAGUCUUUUAUCACUUUUGACCUCGGAUCAGGUAGGGAUACCCGCUGAACUUAAGCAUAUCAAUAAGCGGAGGA